AUGAUGCCUAUCAACUGUUUAAAAGAUGGGUUCUGCUAUCACUCUUGGGAUGGGACCCUGCGGUGCAUUAGCUAGUUGGUAGGGUAACGGGCCUACCAAGGCGAUGAUGCAUAGCCCGAGUUGAGAGACUGAUCGGGCCACAUUGGGGACUGAGACACGGGCCCAAAACUCCUACGGGGAGGCAGCAGUAGGGAAUCUUCCACAAUGGACGCAAGUCUGAUGGAGCAACGCCGCGUGAGUGAAGAAGGGUUUCGGCUCGUAAAGCUCUGUUGUUGGUGAAGAAGGACAGGGUAGUAACUGACCUUUGUUUGACGGUAAUCAAUUAGAAAGUCACGGCUAACUACGUGCCAGCAGCCGCGGUAAU
Molecule: ribosomal RNA, 364 nt
Filed under: uncultured Lactobacillus sp.
Lineage: Bacteria; Bacillati; Bacillota; Bacilli; Lactobacillales; Lactobacillaceae
Description: bacterial SSU rRNA
Rfam family: Bacterial small subunit ribosomal RNA
Source: RNAcentral